UACGGAGGAUGCGAGCGUUAUCCGGAUUUAUUGGGUUUAGAGGGUGCGCAGGCGGAUUUUUAAGUCAGCGGUCAAAUCGUGGGGCUCAACCCCAUCCAGCCGUUGAAACUGGGGAUCUAGAGUGUGCGAGAGGUAUGCGGAAUGCGUGGUGUAGCGGUGAAAUGCAUAGAUAUUAGGAGGAACACCAGAGGCGAAGGCGGCUAACUGGACUGUAACUGACGCUGAGGCACGAAAGUGUGGGGAGCAAACAGG
Molecule: ribosomal RNA, 252 nt
Filed under: uncultured Bacteroidales bacterium
Lineage: Bacteria; Pseudomonadati; Bacteroidota; Bacteroidia; Bacteroidales
Description: partial 16S ribosomal RNA
Rfam family: Bacterial small subunit ribosomal RNA
Source: RNAcentral